CUUCUCCGCCGGCGACCGGCGCACGGGUGAGUAACACGUAUGCAACCUGCCCCUGUCAGGGGGACAACCCGCCGAAAGGCGGGCUAAACCCGCGUACAUGCCACCGGGGCAUCCCGGAGGCAGGAAAGGCUUCGGCCGGACAGGGAUGGGCAUGCGGCGCAUUAGGCAGUAGGCGGGGUAACGGCCCACCUAACCGACGAUGCGUAGGGGUUCUGAGAGGAAGGUCCCCCACACUGGUACUGAGACACGGACCAGACUCCUACGGGAGGCAGCAG
RNAcentral lists this ribosomal RNA (275 nucleotides) under uncultured bacterium. Its description in RNAcentral is "partial 16S ribosomal RNA". It matches the Rfam family "Bacterial small subunit ribosomal RNA", at positions 80 to 354 of the family's 1533-position model. The record is from RNAcentral.